GCUUACGGCCACACCACCCUGAACACGCCUGAUCUCGUCCGAUCUCGGAAGCUAAGCAGGGCAGGGCCUGGUUAGUACUUGGAUGGCAGACUGCCUGGGAAUACCAGGUGCUGUAAGUA
This 119-nucleotide ribosomal RNA is filed under the name Oryzias javanicus (javanese ricefish). The record is from RNAcentral. Lineage: Eukaryota; Metazoa; Chordata; Actinopteri; Beloniformes; Adrianichthyidae.